Musa acuminata AAA Group (dessert banana) is the source of this 1258-nucleotide RNA transcript. RefSeq lists it as uncharacterized. The transcript has 4 exons. NCBI's taxonomy places the organism in Eukaryota, Viridiplantae, Streptophyta, Magnoliopsida, Zingiberales, Musaceae. The record is from RefSeq and is a predicted model, not a curated record.
UCACAUGAGAUCUCCGCUGUCGCCUUCGGUUCGUUUACGCGGGUAGCGGUGCGGUAGGUGAGUUUUAGAGACAGGAAAAAAGAAGGGGGGAGAAAGAAGAGGAGGCGAAGCAGCGGUCGCGGUGGGUGAGGUCAGGAAUCGAUGGCGCAGGGACAGGGUGCGAUGCCGACGCCGUCACCGACUCCGGCGACGAAUCCGCCGCAGGCGGAUGUCCCUCCUGCGGCUGUGGGGCGGCAGCAGCAGGGUUACGCGGUGGAGUUGUACUUCGACCCGGCGCUGGAGAACCAAGUGCUGAAGGCGUGGAACGUGCUCGCCCGCCGGCAGAUCAGCACGCAGCUCAUCGAGAUGGCCGCCCGCCCCCACCUCACCCUCCUCUCUGUCCCCACCCUCGAUCCCCUUCGCCUCCACGCCGCCCUCCGCUCCCUCGCCGCCCGCCUCGAUCCCCUCCCCCUCACCCUCUCCUCCGUCGGUGCCUUCCCUUCCUCCUCCUCCUCUUCCUCCUCUGACGCAGGCGUUCUCUUCCUCGCCCCCACGCCCUCGGCUGCCCUCCUGCACCUCCACUCCCAGCUCUGCGAGACCCUCCGCAAGGAAGGCGUUGAGGCUCCGGAGGAGUUCCGCCCCGAUUCCUGGGUGCCUCAUUGCUCCGUCGCCCAGGACGUUCCCCGGAGCAGGAUCGCAGACGCCUUCUGCAUUCUCCGGGAUCUCAAGCUGCCCGUGUCAGGGUACGUCAUGGACAUCGGCCUUGUGGAGUUCUCGCCCGUGCAGGAGAUCGUCUCCUUCCCCCUCGGGAGUGGUUCGGAAGCUUGAGGUGUGUUUGUUCAAAAUUUUGGGAUUAUGUGCAAGAAUGUGUUUCAAAAGGAGUUUGGUAUGUUGUAUUCAGUUAAUGGGAUAGUCUUUCUCUGAGUUGGCACCCUAGGUAUCAUAUAGCAAAAAAAAGGUUUCUCCUUUAGAUGGCGUCAACUAUUUGUCAUGGAAGUGCUGAAAGGAUAUCAAAUUCGCUGUUUAAUAUGGCGCGGUUUUUUCAGCGAUACUGACUUCUAUUUAUUCAAGGCCAUGAAAAGAGAUGUAUGUGUGUGUAAUGUUCUUGGAGUUUUGAAGCAAGAUAUUACAGAUUACUAUUUGUUUCUGCUUCUGGAAGUAUGAACUGUUAGUCUUAGCUAGGUUUUCUGUGGACCGGAAUCUUAACCUUUUUGUCUUUUCAUUUAUGAAGAUGUUUCAGUAUACUGGCAAAAGAAAUCCAUUUUAGAUUUAUGUUUCA